RNAcentral lists this ribosomal RNA (1437 nucleotides) under uncultured organism. Its description in RNAcentral is "16S ribosomal RNA". It matches the Rfam family "Bacterial small subunit ribosomal RNA". The record is from RNAcentral.
CAGGCUUAACACAUGCAAGUCGAGGGGCAGCACAGGUAGCAAUACCGGGUGGCGACCGGCGCACGGGUGAGUAACGCGUAUGCAACUUGCCUAUCAGAGGGGGAUAACCCGGCGAAAGUCGGACUAAUACCGCAUGAAGCAGGGGCCCCGCAUGGGGAUAUUUGCUAAAGAUUCAUCGCUGAUAGAUAGGCAUGCGUUCCAUUAGGCAGUUGGCGGGGUAACGGCCCACCAAACCGACGAUGGAUAGGGGUUCUGAGAGGAAGGUCCCCCACAUUGGUACUGAGACACGGACCAAACUCCUACGGGAGGCAGCAGUGAGGAAUAUUGGUCAAUGGCCGAGAGGCUGAACCAGCCAAGUCGCGUGAGGGAUGAAGGUUCUAUGGAUCGUAAACCUCUUUUAUAAGGGAAUAAAGUGCGGGACGUGUCCCGUUUUGUAUGUACCUUAUGAAUAAGGAUCGGCUAACUCCGUGCCAGCAGCCGCGGUAAUACGGAGGAUCCGAGCGUCAUCCGGAUUUAUUGGGUUUAAAGGGUGCGUAGGCGGCCUUUUAAGUCAGCGGUGAAAGUCUGUGGCUCAACCAUAGAAUUGCCGUUGAAACUGGGGGGCUUGAGUAUGUUUGAGGCAGGCGGAAUGCGUGGUGUAGCGGUGAAAUGCAUAGAUAUCACGCAGAACCCCGAUUGCGAAGGCAGCCUGCCAAGCCAUUACUGACGCUGAUGCACGAAAGCGUGGGGAUCAAACAGGAUUAGAUACCCUGGUAGUCCACGCAGUAAACGAUGAUCACUAGCUGUUUGCGAUACACUGUAAGCGGCACAGCGAAAGCGUUAAGUGAUCCACCUGGGGAGUACGCCGGCAACGGUGAAACUCAAAGGAAUUGACGGGGGCCCGCACAAGCGGAGGAACAUGUGGUUUAAUUCGAUGAUACGCGAGGAACCUUACCCGGGUUUGAACGCAUUCGGACCGAGGUGGAAACACCUUUUCUAGCAAUAGCCGUUUGCGAGGUGCUGCAUGGUUGUCGUCAGCUCGUGCCGUGAGGUGUCGGCUUAAGUGCCAUAACGAGCGCAACCCUUGCCACUAGUUACUAACAGGUUAGGCUGAGGACUCUGGUGGGACUGCCAGCGUAAGCUGCGAGGAAGGCGGGGAUGACGUCAAAUCAGCACGGCCCUUACAUCCGGGGCGACACGCGUGUUACAAUGGCGUGGACAAAGGGAUGCCACCUGGCGACAGGGAGCGAAUCCCCAAACCACGUCUCAGUUCGGAUCGGAGUCUGCAACCCGACUCCGUGAAGCUGGAUUCGCUAGUAAUCGCGCAUCAGCCAUGGCGCGGUGAAUACGUUCCCGGGCCUUGUACACACCGCCCGUCAAGCCAUGGGAGCCGGGGGUACCUGAAGUCCGUAACCGAAAGGAUCGGCCUAGGGUAAAACUGGUGACUGGGGCUAAGUC